AAUGGGAAUCCACACUGUAGUAGAGCAGCCCGCAGCUGCUGUUGCAGCUCCUGUCCUUAAACCUGUAUCUGGCCAGCCUGGUCCCCACUGGAACCCAGGGAAGCCACACACACUGCAAGAUAUACACAGAAAUGCAGAAUAACCCUCCCCUCAUACAAAUAAUAUGAACAGCCCACACACAAACAUACACACAAUCCGCACAAACGUAACCCGCUAACAAUCCACAUACAUGCACAC
Molecule: non-coding RNA, 237 nt
Organism: Pelobates cultripes (western spadefoot toad)
Lineage: Eukaryota; Metazoa; Chordata; Amphibia; Anura; Pelobatidae
Source: the annotation of a GenBank genome assembly